Molecule: ribosomal RNA, 253 nt
Filed under: uncultured bacterium
Lineage: Bacteria
Description: partial 16S ribosomal RNA
Rfam family: Bacterial small subunit ribosomal RNA
Source: RNAcentral
UACGACGGGGGCUAGCGUUGCUCGGAAUCACUGGGCGUAAAGCGCUCGUAGGCGGCUUUUUAAGUCAGAGGUGAAAUCCUGGAGCUCAACUCCAGAACUGCCUUUGAUACUGGAGAGCUUGAGUCCGGGAGAGGUGAGUGGAACUGCGAGUGUAGAGGUGAAAUUCGUAGAUAUUCGCAAGAACACCAGUGGCGAAGGCGGCUCACUGGCCCGGUACUGACGCUGAGGUGCGAAAGCGUGGGGAGCGAACAGG